This 81-nucleotide transfer RNA is filed under the name Dokdonia sp. 4H-3-7-5. RNAcentral describes it as "tRNA-Leu (CAA) (tRNA-Leu-CAA-1-1)". It matches the Rfam family "tRNA". Rfam says of the family: Transfer RNA (tRNA) molecules are approximately 80 nucleotides in length. Lineage: Bacteria; Pseudomonadati; Bacteroidota; Flavobacteriia; Flavobacteriales; Flavobacteriaceae. The record is from RNAcentral.
GCCUAGGUGGCGGAAUUGGUAGACGCGCUCGACUCAAACUCGAGUUUCUUUGAAGUGUGGGUUCGAUUCCCAUCCUAGGUA